Molecule: ribosomal RNA, 448 nt
Filed under: uncultured bacterium
Lineage: Bacteria
Description: bacterial SSU rRNA
Rfam family: Bacterial small subunit ribosomal RNA
Source: RNAcentral
UCCAGACUCCUACGGGAGGCAGCAGUGGGGAAUAUUGGGCAAUGGGCGCAAGCCUGACCCAGCAACGCCGCGUGAAGGAAGAAGGCUUUCGGGUUGUAAACUUCGUUUAUUGAGGACGAAACAAAUGACGGUACUCAAUGAAUAAGCCACGGCUAACUACGUGCCAGCAGCCGCGGUAAUACGUAGGUGGCAAGCGUUAUCCGGAUUUACUGGGUGUAAAGGGCGUGUAGGCGGGACUGCAAGUCAGAUGUGAAACCCGUGGGCUCAACCCCUGGCCUGCAUUUGAAACUGUAGUUCUUGAGUGGUGGAGAGGCGGGCGGAAUUCCGUGUGUAGCGGUGAAAUGCGUAGAUAUACGGAGGAACACCAGUGGCGAAGGCGGCCUGCUGGACAUUAACUGACGCUGAGGCGCGAAAGCGUGGGGAGCAAACAGGAUUAGAUACCCCAGUA